AUACGGAGGGUGCAAGCGUUACUGGGAAUUACUGGGCGUAAAGGACGCGUAGGCGGUUUUUAAAGUCAGAUGUGAAAGCCUAUGGCUUAACCAUAGAACUGCAUUUGAAACUUCUAAACUAGAGUGAGGGAGAGGUCAGUGGAAUUAGUGGUGUAGGGGUAAAAUCCGUAGAGAUCACUAGGAAUACUCAUAGCGAAGGCGACUGACUGGAACUUUACUGACGCUGAGGCGUGAAAGCGUGGGGAGCAAACAGGAUUAGAAACCCGAGUAGUCC
This 274-nucleotide ribosomal RNA is filed under the name uncultured bacterium. Its description in RNAcentral is "partial 16S ribosomal RNA". It matches the Rfam family "Bacterial small subunit ribosomal RNA", at positions 523 to 796 of the family's 1533-position model. The record is from RNAcentral.